UACGUAGGCAGCGAGCGUUGUUCGGAAUUACUGGGCGUAAAGAGUGUGUAGGCGGUGUUCCCAGUCUGUUGUGAAAUCUCCCGGCUUAACUGGGAGGGUGCAGCGGAAACUAGAAUGCUAGAGGGUGGGAGAGGUAAGCGGAAUUCCUGGUGUAGCGGUGAAAUGCGUAGAUAUCAGGAGGAACACCUGUGGUGUAGACAGCUUACUGGACCACUUCUGACGUGAGACACGAAAGCGUGGGUAGCAAACAGG
Molecule: ribosomal RNA, 252 nt
Filed under: uncultured bacterium
Lineage: Bacteria
Description: partial 16S ribosomal RNA
Rfam family: Bacterial small subunit ribosomal RNA
Source: RNAcentral